CCUACGGGUGGCAGCAGUGGGGAAUAUUGCACAAUGGGGGCAACCCUGAUGCAGCGACGCAGCGUGCGUGAAGAAGGAUUUCGGUAUGUUAAGCUCUAUCAGCAGGGAAGAAGCAUGACGGUACCUGACUAAGAAGCCCCUGCUAACUACGUGCCAGCAGCCGCGGUAAUACGCAGGGGGCAAGCGUUAUCCGGAUUUACUGGGUGUAAAGGGAGCGUAGACGGUAUGGCAAGUCUGAAGUGAAAGCCCAGGGCUUAACCCUGGGACCGCUUUGGAAACUGUUAGACUAGAGUGCUGGAGAGGUAAGUGGAAUUCCUGGUGUAGCGGUGAAAUGCGUAGAUAUGAGGAGGAACACCAGUGGCGAAGGCGGCUUACUGGACAGUAACUGACGUUGAGGCUCGAAGGCGUGGGGAGCAAACAGGAUUAGAUACCCUAGUAGUC
This 441-nucleotide ribosomal RNA is filed under the name uncultured bacterium. RNAcentral's name for it is "partial 16S ribosomal RNA". It matches the Rfam family "Bacterial small subunit ribosomal RNA", at positions 338 to 795 of the family's 1533-position model. The record is from RNAcentral.